UAUCUAUGAUGAUAUCCUUAAGGCUUGUUUCUCAUGAACAUUCGCAGUGGCCGCCUGAUUGAGCUUUCGCCUUCGCCAGGCUUGAGAGCUCAUGCUGCUCUUUCCUUCCUUGGAUGUCUGAGAUCCCAUUUUUAUUUUAUUCAUUUUCUGUUUUGUUUAUUAUUAAUUGGGGAUCGUCUUCCCCUUUUGCAAAUUCUGUAUUGCUUUAGGGAUGGAAUGAAUGAUAUCCCCUGAGAUUUAAUUCACCCUAUCACUUUGUCACCAAAUUCGUUGGUAUUUUUUUUACUAAUUUACAAUUUGCUGAUCAUUAAGGGGUGGAAUAUAUGGCUAUUAAAAGGAACUGGUGAUGAUAUCUUAAAGGCUUGUUUCUCAGAAACAUUCGCAGUGGCCGCCUAAGAACUUUCGCCUUCGCCAGGCUUGAGAGUUUGUGCUGUUUUGCUCCUUCCUUGGAUGUCUGAAGUU
This 462-nucleotide long non-coding RNA is filed under the name Helianthus annuus (common sunflower). Its description in RNAcentral is "hypothetical non coding rna". The stretch from base 339 to 462 matches the Rfam family "Small nucleolar RNA SNORD14". The record is from RNAcentral. Lineage: Eukaryota; Viridiplantae; Streptophyta; Magnoliopsida; Asterales; Asteraceae.